This 354-nucleotide unclassified non-coding RNA is filed under the name soil metagenome. Its description in RNAcentral is "partial contains 5.8S ribosomal RNA, internal transcribed spacer 2, and large subunit ribosomal RNA". The stretch from base 1 to 120 matches the Rfam family "5.8S ribosomal RNA", at positions 35 to 154 of the family's 154-position model. The record is from RNAcentral.
GAUGAAGAACGUAGCGAAAUGCGAUAAGUAGUGUGAAUUGCAGAAUUCAGUGAAUCAUCGAAUCUUUGAACGCACAUUGCGCCUCCUGGUAUUCCGGGAGGCAUGCCUGUUCGAGCGUCAUUAAAAUCACUCAAGCUUAGGUUUACCUAUUGCUUGGUCUUGGAGAUGGAAGUCAAUUUAUUGGAAUCCUCUUCGAAAUUCAAUGGCGAAGACCCUUGCUCUCCCAAGUGUAGUAAUAACUUAUGUCACUGAAGGAAGCGAGAAAUCUUCUGCCGUAACCCCCAUAUUUUCUAUGAUUGACCUCGGAUCAGGUAGGGAUACCCGCUGAACUUAAGCAUAUCAAUAAGCGGAGGA